Molecule: transfer RNA, 60 nt
Filed under: Cavia porcellus (domestic guinea pig)
Lineage: Eukaryota; Metazoa; Chordata; Mammalia; Rodentia; Caviidae
Rfam family: tRNA
About the family: Transfer RNA (tRNA) molecules are approximately 80 nucleotides in length.
Source: Rfam by way of RNAcentral
UGUAGCUCAGUGGUAGAGUGCUUACUUAGCAUGAUGAGGCCCUGGGUUCAAUUCCCAGCA